UGCAAGUCGAACGCUUCUUUUCCCACCGGAGCUUGCUCCACCGGGAAAAGAGGAGUGGCGAACGGGUGAGUAACACGUGGGUAACCUGCCCAUCAGAAGGGGAUAACACUUGGAAACAGGUGCUAAUACCGUAUAACAAUCGAAACCGCAUGGUUUCGUUUUGAAAGGCGCUUUACGGUGCCGCUGAUGGAUGGACCCGCGGUGCAUUAGCUAGUUGGUGAGGUAACGGCUCACCAAGGCCACGAUGCAUAGCCGACCUGAGAGGGUGAUCGGCCACAUUGGGACUGAGACACGGCCCAAACUCCUACGGGAGGCAGCAGUAGGGAAUCUUCGGCAAUGGACGAAAGUCUGACCGAGCAACGCCGCGUGAGUGAAGAAGGUUUUCGGAUCGUAAAACUCUGUUGUUAGAGAAGAACAAGGGUGAGAGUAACUGUUCACCCCUUGACGGUAUCUAACCAGAAAGCCACGGCUAACUACGUGCCAGCAGCCGCGGUAAUACGUAGGUGGCAAGCGUUGUCCGGAUUUAUUGGGCGUAAAGCGAGCGCAGGCGGUUUCUUAAGUCUGAUGUGAAAGCCCCCGGCUCAACCGGGGAGGGUCAUUGGAAACUGGGAGACUUGAGUGCAGAAGAGGAGAGUGGAAUUCCAUGUGUAGCGGUGAAAUGCGUAGAUAUAUGGAGGAACACCAGUGGCGAAGGCGGCUCUCUGGUCUGUAACUGACGCUGAGGCUCGAAAGCGUG
Molecule: ribosomal RNA, 736 nt
Filed under: Enterococcus mundtii
Lineage: Bacteria; Bacillati; Bacillota; Bacilli; Lactobacillales; Enterococcaceae
Description: bacterial SSU rRNA
Rfam family: Bacterial small subunit ribosomal RNA
Source: RNAcentral